UACGUAGGGUCCGAGCGUUGUCCGGAAUUAUUGGGCGUAAAGGGCUCGUAGGCGGUGUGUCGCGUCGGGAGUGAAAACUCGGAGCUCAACUCCGAGCUUGCUUUCGAUACGGGCAGACUAGAGGUAGGCAGGGGAGAGCGGAAUUCCUGGUGUAGCGGUGGAAUGCGCAGAUAUCAGGAGGAACACCGGUGGCGAAGGCGGCUCUCUGGGCCUUACCUGACGCUGAGGAGCGAAAGCGUGGGUAGCGAACAGG
This 253-nucleotide ribosomal RNA is filed under the name uncultured bacterium. Its description in RNAcentral is "partial 16S ribosomal RNA". It matches the Rfam family "Bacterial small subunit ribosomal RNA", at positions 524 to 776 of the family's 1533-position model. The record is from RNAcentral.